GAGGGUAUAGCUCAAGUGGUAGAGCACAUGCUUAGCAUGCACGAGGUCCUGUGUUCAAACCCCAGUGCCUCUG
RNAcentral lists this transfer RNA (73 nucleotides) under Camelus bactrianus (Bactrian camel). It matches the Rfam family "tRNA". Rfam says of the family: Transfer RNA (tRNA) molecules are approximately 80 nucleotides in length. The record is from Rfam by way of RNAcentral. RNAcentral also lists the same sequence under 1 other name. Lineage: Eukaryota; Metazoa; Chordata; Mammalia; Artiodactyla; Camelidae.